GGUUCAAAGGUGAAGUAGGAAGCAAUAAAUGGACAGGAACUAACAUGUUUUAUGGAGCUUUUAGUUGGAAGGUUCAAUCCUAUAGGCACAUCUGGACCACCUGUGUGCAGAACAAACAGCCAGCUUUCUGAAGGAAAGGUUCGUAGAGGAGAUGGAAUUUCACGAUUUCUUUCUGUGAAAGACAGAGCAAGGUUUGGUUCUGACAGAAACUCUGGGGUCUUCUUUCUUCUGAUAUUGUGGAGAGCAGACUCAUCUACGCUCAGGCUUUCUAGUGUCUACACAUUGGCAUUAAGUUGAAAAUGAGUAAGUAGUAGUGCAGUUGGAAAACACAGAGUCACGGCUAAAACCGAGACUGCCGUGCUGUUUCUUUCUUCUGCAGUUGCCUUCCACACAGCUGCAGGACACAGAUAUAUGCCUUUCCAACUGUUCGACCUCUUGUCUCCUGGACUAAACUCAACUGGAGGAAAGUCAGCCGAGAGCCUAAAAGUCUGCUGAGGUUUUAAUGACUUCCUCCAGCAUCUCCACUUACUGUUCGAUGCUGACAUCAGCUGGACCACAGAAGAAUGGAUGACGAAUGCACCGAGGAACACUUGCGGUCAAGUGACUGUCAACCCUCUGAAAAGUGGAAAAUCACUGAGGACUCCUGAAAUAAUACAAUGUCCAGUCUGGAGUGUGGAGAUAGCGGUGUGACAGCAGAUACAGCCCGGAGAUUGUGAUUUCGCUCUGCUAGGGGAAAAAGAGGGGCACCACUAUUUUCUAACAGACAUAUACUUUAUCGAUGAGAAAAUUUAGAUGUAUCUUUAGAAUUAUUUUUCCCUCUGCUUUACCUUGAUUUAAUAUUUUUUAUUAUUAAAUCACUUUUCUAGGCAUGUGCUGUAUCAAUGUGCUAAAGCCCUAAUUUGGAUUUAUUGGUUGUUAUGAGUUACAAAUAUAAUGCAUAGUUGAUGCUGAUAAGAGAAAAAAAUAAGUGAAUAAGCAAGUAAUACAUUUUCACCAUCAUUUAAGUUAACCAAUCAUUUUAGCUUGAUGUAAAUCAUUUUAUAUGUUUUAAUUCUUGUGUUUUAUUGUACUUGUUUUCUAGGCAUGGAACUUGUGUUAUAGCCACUACUGCCACAAGAGAAAGAAAAAUAAAACCAAAAGAAUUUGUGUUUUCAGAGCUGAAACCAGAAUUCAGCAUACUAGCCACAUUAGCAGUGCUUAGUCUCCAAUUUCCAAACUUUAGUAGCUUCUCAUAUUUAAUUUCACUACUUGAUACACAUUCAAUGUAGAUAAAUGGGACAUUUGCUUCAUUUACUCUUACUGGGAAAUUAACCAGGAACAAUUUUGAAUGUAGCAGACUUCAUUACAUCAGUAAUUUCUCAUGAUUCCUGUGAAUCAGCUGAUGUGUCUCUUUCUGAGCAGCAUGGUGUUCUGUAUGGCUGGGGCUCAGCCUCUAACUGAUCUUUGCUCUUAACUGAACUAAUAAAGACCGAAGGUAUUAGUUUGCUUUCCCAUGAACUAUGUCAGUGGCUGUAAUUAGUGCUGUGUUUUCUUUCUUCAUUUAAUAUUAUUUCACUGAGGUUCAGUCAAAGUAAGGGAGACACACUUAGACUGAUAUAAAGGGCCUAGACAUUUCUAUGUGCAAAUUGGCGAACUACACUUUUAAUAUCAUCGUUUUCUGUGUUUGGCCUAGAUUUUAAAGACAGAUGUAUCAAUAAUUGCUGUGGGACAAUGGUUUUACCCUGUAAACAUUUGUUUCUUGUACUUGUUUAAUAAAAUGCUGAUUGACCAGU
This is a non-coding RNA of Myodes glareolus (Bank vole), 1772 nucleotides long. Lineage: Eukaryota; Metazoa; Chordata; Mammalia; Rodentia; Cricetidae. The record is from RefSeq and is a predicted model, not a curated record.